AAGUCGUAACAAGGUUUCCGUAGGUGAACCUGCGGAAGGAUCAUUAACACGUAUCCAACGUUAAACAACCCUGUGAACUUUCAGCCGCUCUUGUAGCCCUCGAGGAACAGCAAUCCCGGUAAAUCAUUGUCGAACAGUUUUGAUUCGGGACCUCUGUCCAGAAGGUAUCAAGUUACAAUUGAGCGUAGAAGCAGUGGCAUGGCUUCCCCAAGCAGCUAGUGAAAUGACAUUGUCACUAGUUGUGUAAGGAUAACGCCUCACGGUUGCUAGAGGUCGAUCCCCGACCGGCAGACAUGUCACAGGGCUUUACGCCCCUUAACCACCCCUUGCAUGAAUGCCCCGCCUAGUGGUAACGCGCUAGGUAACAAAAACCGAACAACUGUUAACAAUGGAUAUCUUGGUUCUC
This 406-nucleotide unclassified non-coding RNA is filed under the name fungal sp. Its description in RNAcentral is "partial internal transcribed spacer region". The stretch from base 1 to 46 matches the Rfam family "Eukaryotic small subunit ribosomal RNA", at positions 1786 to 1831 of the family's 1831-position model. The record is from RNAcentral. Lineage: Eukaryota; Fungi.